ACGGGUGCGUAACGCGUGGGAAUCUGCCCUUGGGUUCGGAAUAACAGUGAGAAAUUACUGCUAAUACCGGAUGAUGUCUUCGGACCAAAGAUUUAUCGCCCAGGGAUGAGCCCGCGUAGGAUUAGCUAGUUGGUGGGGUAAUGGCCUACCAAGGCGAUAAUCCUUAGCUGGUCUGAGAGGAUGAUCAGCCACACUGGGACUGAGACACGGCCCAGACUCCUACGGGAGGCAGCAGUGGGGAAUAUUGGACAAUGGGCGAAAGCCUGAUCCAGCAAUGCCGCGUGAGUGAUGAAGGCCUUAGGGUUGUAAAGCUCUUUUACCCGGGAUGAUAAUGACAGUACCGGGAGAAUAAGCUCCGGCUAACUCCGUGCCAGCAGCCGCGGUAAUACGGAGGGAGCUAGCGUUGUUCGGAAUUACUGGGCGUAAAGCGCGCGUAGGCGGCUGCUCAAGUCAGAGGUGAAAGCCCGGGGCUCAACCCCGGAACUGCCUUUGAAACUAGGUAGCUAGAAUCUUGGAGAGGUCAGUGGAAUUCCGAGUGUAGAGGUGAAAUUCGUAGA
Molecule: ribosomal RNA, 557 nt
Filed under: Novosphingobium sp. HRRK016
Lineage: Bacteria; Pseudomonadati; Pseudomonadota; Alphaproteobacteria; Sphingomonadales; Sphingomonadaceae
Also listed under: 2 other names
Description: bacterial SSU rRNA
Rfam family: Bacterial small subunit ribosomal RNA
Source: RNAcentral